AAGAGGGCUUGGAAGGGAUUGUUCCAGGAUGUGGGAUUUGGUCUUGGAAGACCGAAGGAUAAAUGUUUCGAGACAAGGAGUGGAUCAGGCCAGAUAAGUAUGGCCAUUUCUCUCAGGAGUUCUGGAAUUUCUGUGUAGUGCCUGUUGAAGCUGUGGAUGCCAGUGACUGUGACAUCAACUACGAGGGCCUGGACAACCUCCUCCUCCUGAAGGAGCUCCAGUCCUUGUCGCUGCAGCGCUGCUCCCACGUGGACGACUGGUGUCUCAGCCGCCUCUACCCACUGGCCGACUCGUUGCAGGAGCUCUCGCUGGCCGGUUGCCCCCGCGUCUCUGAACGGGGCCUCGCCUGCCUCCACCACCUCCGGUGAGACCUCAGCUCAGGCUGGGCCCCGUACCCAGGCACCUCUCCCACCUAACACAGAUGCAGGGGAGGAAGUGGGGAGGGGCAAUGUUGGGCAGUUCUCGUAUCCCCCUGCGUCCAUCACAAACCUAGAGUAUUUGUGGUAGAUGAGCAGUCACAGUGAGUCUCUGGAAGAAUUAAAUGACUCCUGGUUUUUCUUCCUUUUUGUUUUAGUCAAAACUCUGUGAUAUCGAUGCUGUUGCAGAACAGCAGGAGCUAGAGUUGCAUAUUUGCAAUUAACACAGUGGGCUUCAUGUGCCUGGACAGCUAUAAAAAUUCUAUUUUAGGAAGCUAAGGUUGAAAUUUGGGGCCAGUACCUCCCUAUACAUAUAUACAUACAUACAUACAUACAUACAUACAUACAUACAUACAUACAUACAUGCACGCACACACACACACACACACGUUGGGGCCAGUACCUCCCUAUACAUACAUACAUACACACACACACACACACACACACACACGCACAUACACGCUGUCCUUACACUGGCUUCCUGUCCUCCUCGCCCCUUUUCAGGAACCUCCGCAGGCUGGACAUCUCGGACCUCCCUGCCGUGUCCAACCCUGGCCUCACUCAGAUCUUGGUGGAGGAGAUGCUGCCCAAUUGCGAGGUUGUGGGGGUCGACUGGGCUGAGGGCCUGAAGUCGGGGCCAGAGGAGCAGCCUCAGGACACAGCCAGCCCUGUCCCUGCCUAGCCUUCAGCCCUGUCCCCACUCGCGUGGCUUCUCAGCGGGCUGCAUGGAAUGUCUGGUAGCUUACCACACUUCUAGCUUCCAUUUGUCUUCACUCAACGUCGGGGUGGGGGAGUGGUGCUGGCCAGUCCUCACAGGGAGAGAGCGUGAGUUCCCAGUAUUUAUUCCUGGCUGCCCUUGGCUAAAGGUCACAGCUCCUGUCACCCUGUCAGGCAGCUCUUUCCAUGCCCCUCUUCAGGCCUGGGGAGGUAAAGGCUCAGGCUGUUAGUGGCCUCAGAGAGCCACACUCACCUUGUCAAGAGACUCUUCUCAAACUGUCAUUAUGUGAGUGCACUGCCAUUUCUUGCAGGGACCCUGACUGACACAGGGGCUACUACUGACACUUCACAGGGAUGGUUCUCCCCCGUGCAGGGCCGCUCUGCUCACUGCAGGACAUGCAGCAUCCUUCACCCCACUCCACUCACUAAAGGCCAGCACACCCCAGGCCCCAUGGUAUUGCUGGUUAUGGAUUUAUUGACUUUACGUUCCAAAUUCAGCUUUUUUGGUUGGCUGUUUUUUGAAAGGGGAUAAGCUUUGUCAGUAGAGGGCACCAAACAGGCAUCAUAGGAGGAAAGGCACCUCCUUCCUGGUUCUUGUUGGUUGUGCUUCUGCCUCUGGACGCCGCCGGGCAUGUGGCUUCCCCAGCACCCAGCUCCUGAAGCAGCAGGCGGUCAGCAGCUGCCCUUGGCACCCUCCAGCCCUCAGAAGCUGAGUAGAAGACACAGCGCCUCCACUGAGGCACCUCUCUGGGAAUAACGUUCCCCAGCACCCCAGAUGGAUUUCCAGUCAAUUCAGAAGCAUUUUACCAGUGAAGCCCUCAUUAUUCCAGUUCACUGUUAAAGCCAGUAAUUCUCUAUAUUAAACUUUCCCUGUUCAAGUU
Molecule: small RNA, 2014 nt
Filed under: Pongo abelii (Sumatran orangutan)
Lineage: Eukaryota; Metazoa; Chordata; Mammalia; Primates; Hominidae
Description: retained intron
Source: RNAcentral